This 300-nucleotide ribosomal RNA is filed under the name Triticum aestivum (bread wheat). Its description in RNAcentral is "partial small subunit ribosomal RNA". The record is from RNAcentral. Lineage: Eukaryota; Viridiplantae; Streptophyta; Magnoliopsida; Poales; Poaceae.
AUGAGUUUUGACUCCCUAGGGAAGCCUACGAUUUCUAUAAGUUGUAUAAGAUAUGGCAACUGUUGUCUGAAUGUCGAGCGGACAAAUUGUAUGCAGGAGAUCGUCUAUGGAUCCUCGGGAAAUCCUGAGCAGCAGAAUAGCUGGUCUUGCCGGUGCGAGUGCCCUUCAAUGAUCAGACUUCUUAGAGCUGCUCACAAUGGAUGGUUGAUAGCUGAACACCGGUCAAGCCACAACCAUUCAAUGUCCCUUACUUGCGGUGAAAAGGUUCAUUGGCCGUCCUACAAGCACAUAGAUAUGUAG